AUCAUUACAAGAACGCCCGGGCUUCGGCCUGGUUAUUCAUAACCCUUUGUUGUCCGACUCUGUUGCCUCCGGGGCGACCCUGCCUUCGGGCGGGGGCUCCGGGUGGACACUUCAAACUCUUGCGUAACUUUGCAGUCUGAGUAAACUUAAUUAAUAAAUUAAAACUUUUAACAACGGAUCUCUUGGUUCUGGCAUCGAUGAAGAACGCAGCGAAAUGCGAUAAGUAAUGUGAAUUGCAGAAUUCAGUGAAUCAUCGAAUCUUUGAACGCACAUUGCGCCCCCUGGUAUUCCGGGGGGCAUGCCUGUUCGAGCGUCAUUUCACCACUCAAGCCUCGCUUGGUAUUGGGCAACGCGGUCCGCCGCGUGCCUCAAAUCGUCCGGCCGGGUCUUCUGUCCCCUAAGCGUUGUGGAAACUAUUCGCUAAAGGGUGUUCGGGAGGCUACGCCGUAAAACAACCCCAUUUCUAAGGUUGACCUCGGAUCAGGUAGGGAUACCCGCUGAACUUAAGCAUAUCAAUAAGCGGAGGA
Molecule: ribosomal RNA, 527 nt
Filed under: uncultured Cladosporium
Lineage: Eukaryota; Fungi; Ascomycota; Dothideomycetes; Cladosporiales; Cladosporiaceae
Description: eukaryotic LSU rRNA
Rfam family: 5.8S ribosomal RNA (bases 163-316)
Source: RNAcentral